GUCGAGGGGCAGCAGGUUUGUAGCAAUACAGAUGCUGGCGACCGGCAAACGGGUGCGGAACACGUACACAACCUUCCUUUAAGUGGGGAAUAGCCCAGAGAAAUUGGAUUAAUACCCCGUAACAUUUGAUGUGGCAUCACAUUAUAAUAUAGCUCAGGCGCUUAAUGAUGGGUGUGCGGCUGAUAGAUAGUUGGCGGGGUAACGGCCCACCAAGUCUGCGAUCAGUAACUGGUGUGAGAGCACGACCAGUCACACGGGCACUGAGACACGGGCCCGACUCCUACGGGAGGCAGCAGUAAGGAAUAUUGGGCAAUGGAGGCAACUCUGACCCAGCCAUGCCGCGUGGAGGAUGAAGGCCCUCUGGGUUGUAAACUUCUUUUAUUUGGGACGAAAAAGGGCUUUUCUAAGUCAACUGACGGUACCAGAUGAAUAAGCACCGGCUAACUCCGUGCCAGCAGCCGCGGUAAUACGGAGGGUGCAAGCGUUAUCCGGAUUCACUGGGUUUAAAGGGUGCGUAGGUGGGUUGGUAAGUCAGUGGUGAAAUCCCCGAGCUUAACUUGGGAACUGCCAUUGAUACUAUCAGUCUUGAAUAUUGUGGAGGUCAGCGGAAUAUGUCAUGUAGCGGUGAAAUGCUUAGAUAUGACAUAGAACACCAAUUGCGAAGGCAGCUGGCUACACAUAUAUUGACACUGAGGCACGAAAGCGUGGGGAUCAAACAGGAUUAGAUACCCUGGUAGUCC
RNAcentral lists this ribosomal RNA (740 nucleotides) under uncultured bacterium. RNAcentral's name for it is "bacterial SSU rRNA". It matches the Rfam family "Bacterial small subunit ribosomal RNA", at positions 61 to 796 of the family's 1533-position model. The record is from RNAcentral.